UAUUUAUGUUCACUAAAUAUAAAUGUUAAACAUCAGGUUUACAAACUAAUACAUUCUAAUUUCGCCGUUUUUAAAUUUAAUAUAGGCCUAUAUUUUCGUGAUGUAUAAUGUAGGCUAAUAAUUCGUUCUGUCAAUGUGAGGGUGCAAAAAAAACAUUACGAGUAAGAUUAAUAAUGCAAGUGCACAUAUCAUGACUUAAUUUAAUACACUUAGUUACCAAGAUUUUCGGGAAAUUAUGAUAUGUGAAACAUAUCAUUUGACCUUAUGUUUACUUCACUGACAGGAGAAUCAGAAGCUCAGUUUUAGGAGAGGAAGAGACAGAGAAAAAUAAACAGUGAUGGAGAUGAGGAGAGAGCAGUGGUAUUUCAACAAUCACUCAUGGAGUCUGACCAGGACUGGUAUGAUCAUUUUUACCCUUUUUAUGAGGACAGAAGUAUCUCACGUUUUGGUUUUGAUGAAUCAUUCAGCCCUAGGAUAACAUAUGUUGUCAGCUCAGGAAAAGAUGUAGGACAUUGAAGAGAAGUAUGGCUUUAAUCAGUGUGGUCGAGUCAAUUUGUGUGAGUGUUUGAGACUUUUUAGAUGCCUGUCAACACAGUUUUGGAGAACGUCUUUGAGGAGCUGAUAUCUGAAACUUUCAAAUUUGCACCGCAUCGAGAUCAGUCUUAUCACAGUGUCUCCCGAGAUUGUCUUGAGAUUCUACUCUGUCUGAUGGCCCAGUAUCUGAACCUGGACAGGCGUCAUAAACUCAAUCAUUUAAAAUAAUUGUAUUUUAUACACACAUCUUUUUAUUAUAAUUUUUUUAUACAUGUUUCUAGGU
This is a long non-coding RNA of Onychostoma macrolepis, 817 nucleotides long. RefSeq lists it as uncharacterized. The record is from RefSeq and is a predicted model, not a curated record. Lineage: Eukaryota; Metazoa; Chordata; Actinopteri; Cypriniformes; Cyprinidae. The transcript has 3 exons.